GGUCCUAUGGUGUAAGAUGCAGCGCUCAGGACUCUGAAUCCUGGAAUCUGAGUUCAAAUCUCAGUGGGACCU
Pelodiscus sinensis (Chinese soft-shelled turtle) is the source of this 72-nucleotide transfer RNA. It matches the Rfam family "tRNA". From Rfam's summary of the family: Transfer RNA (tRNA) molecules are approximately 80 nucleotides in length. Their secondary structure includes four short double-helical elements and three loops (D, anti-codon, and T loops). Lineage: Eukaryota; Metazoa; Chordata; Testudines; Trionychidae. The record is from Rfam.